RNAcentral lists this unclassified non-coding RNA (207 nucleotides) under Hevea brasiliensis (rubber tree). The record is from RNAcentral. Lineage: Eukaryota; Viridiplantae; Streptophyta; Magnoliopsida; Malpighiales; Euphorbiaceae.
GACACUUCUGUAAUGAGGAGGCUCAGGUUCUUCCACUCGCACGAAAACAUUUUAGCGCCAAAAGGCAGCGGGAACUCCUUUACCAGAGCUUGUGUGUUAUGCCACUUAGACUCAUAGAAUGCGUCUUACCAUGGUUGGUAGGUUCAUUAAGUGAGGAGGAAGCAAGGUCUUUUCUUCAGAACAUGCAUCUGGCAGCACCAGCAUCAG